UACGAAGGGGGCUAGCGUUGCUCGGAAUUACUGGGCGUAAAGGGAGCGUAGGCGGAUAGUUUAGUCAGAGGUGAAAGCCCAGGGCUCAACCUUGGAAUUGCCUUUGAUACUGGCUAUCUUGAGUACGGAAGAGGUAUGUGGAACUCCGAGUGUAGAGGUGAAAUUCGUAGAUAUUCGGAAGAACACCAGUGGCGAAGGCGACAUACUGGUCCGUUACUGACGCUGAGGCACGAAAGCGUGGGGAGCCAAACAGG
RNAcentral lists this ribosomal RNA (254 nucleotides) under uncultured bacterium. Its description in RNAcentral is "partial 16S ribosomal RNA". It matches the Rfam family "Bacterial small subunit ribosomal RNA", at positions 524 to 776 of the family's 1533-position model. The record is from RNAcentral.